CAAAGUCAUACGAUAACUUUCCAUCGAGCGGAGCAUUGAUCAGUGCUGGCUUUCAGGUAUCGGCCACCGUUAGCCGACCUAUGGACGCAGACUCCACAGCGACGAGGUCGUGCGACGAAAUGACCGAACCAUCGG
Trichogramma pretiosum is the source of this 135-nucleotide long non-coding RNA. RefSeq lists it as uncharacterized. Lineage: Eukaryota; Metazoa; Arthropoda; Insecta; Hymenoptera; Trichogrammatidae. The record is from RefSeq and is a predicted model, not a curated record. The transcript has 2 exons.